RNAcentral lists this transfer RNA (71 nucleotides) under Cyclobacteriaceae bacterium. It matches the Rfam family "tRNA". Rfam says of the family: Transfer RNA (tRNA) molecules are approximately 80 nucleotides in length. Their secondary structure includes four short double-helical elements and three loops (D, anti-codon, and T loops). Lineage: Bacteria; Pseudomonadati; Bacteroidota; Cytophagia; Cytophagales; Cyclobacteriaceae. The record is from Rfam by way of RNAcentral.
GCCGAAGUAGCUCAGGGUAGAGCAACGGUUUCGUAAACCGUAGGUCGUGAGUUCAAAUCUCAUCUUCGGCU